This 74-nucleotide transfer RNA is filed under the name Mollicutes bacterium. RNAcentral describes it as "tRNA-Trp". It matches the Rfam family "tRNA". Rfam says of the family: Transfer RNA (tRNA) molecules are approximately 80 nucleotides in length. Their secondary structure includes four short double-helical elements and three loops (D, anti-codon, and T loops). Lineage: Bacteria; Bacillati; Mycoplasmatota; Mollicutes. The record is from RNAcentral.
AGGGGUGUAAUUCAAUGGUAGAAUGACGGUCUCCAAAACCGUUCAUGUGGGUUCGAUUCCUGCCACCCCUGCCA